Molecule: unclassified non-coding RNA, 328 nt
Filed under: Hevea brasiliensis (rubber tree)
Lineage: Eukaryota; Viridiplantae; Streptophyta; Magnoliopsida; Malpighiales; Euphorbiaceae
Source: RNAcentral
UACUAUUAUAACUGUGUUACCUAUGAAAGCUUGUGGGAGAAGCCAGAGGAGUUUGCCCUGUUUGAGCAACAACUAAAGCAGGAAAAGCUUCAAAAACCGAACCAUCAGCCUCAUUCUUCAUUAGCAGGUCUCUCUUCUCCAGAAGUGUUGCCUCAGCCAAAUCUCUUCAGCCAAAAACUUGAAGUCCAAUUUUCCUCAGCUGUACGAGAGUUGGAUUGUAUGCGACUUCAAUCAAAACCAAGUCCUGUUGUUAGUCCAGCCUGUGUUUAACAAUGUUGUCUAAGCUAUUAGGAAGGUUAUUUAAGAUGCUUUGAAGUUUUCUCCGUUG